Molecule: long non-coding RNA, 5462 nt
Organism: Sapajus apella (tufted capuchin)
Lineage: Eukaryota; Metazoa; Chordata; Mammalia; Primates; Cebidae
Exons: 4
Source: RefSeq, a predicted model, not a curated record
UCUCUUCCCAGCAGGACUCUAGAGCAGUUAACGUGGAGCUUACAAAGGCUUUUAACCCUUUAAUAUGAUUAUUAGAGCUGACUGUGGCAGGAACCCUAAAACUCCUGUUUCCCGAAGGCAAAGACCCUUUUUACCACCACAUGGUUAAAAGGCCAAGCUCCCAAGGACCCCAAACAAGGUGGAGACUCUGUUCCGUUUUCUGUUUGUUUCAGGGAACUGCAGCCAAGUUUGUCACCGGCCAGCUUGCGGGGUCGUCUUGAAAAUGAGGGUUACAGCACAACGUGACAAUCAGGAAAGUGACCUCAGUACAAUGUGCCCCGAGUUCCAGGAAGUCCACACCCGUGGACUCCUGCAGCCACCACCCCAUGCGCCAUGCAGAGCCCCUUCUGUCGCCGCAGACACUCCCCUGUGCUACGCCCUCGUGGACACGGCUGCCCUCCGCCGCGCACCACCAACUCCGGUAACUUCCAAACUGCCCUCCAUCACCACAGUCUGUCAUGGUGGGAAGGUCACUUACAUGGAGCCACAGUUUGUGGCGUUUGAGACGGACACUUUUCCCUCGGCAUAAGGCUCCUGAGACCCUGUCAAGGUUACCUAUGGAUAUCCAGUUCAGCACAAUUGUUGAAACAACUCUCCUUCCUCCAUUAAAUUGCUUUUUACCUCUGCCAAGUAUCCCCUGGCUGCCCUGGAGUGGCUGUUGUGAGGCUCUGUUCCGUUCCAGCCAUCGAUGUGUCUGUUCCCCUGAUGGGACCACGGUCUUCACUAUGGAAGCCACACAGGAAGUCUUGAAACCAGAUAGAACAAUUUCUUCCAUUUUUAAAAAAGCUGCUUUAACUAUUCUAGUUCCUUUGCCUUUUCAUACACAUUUUAGAAUAAUCUCGUCCGUAUCUAGAGCAGCUCUUGCUGGGCUUUUGGUAGGCAUUGCAUGAAAAGCAUGUCACGUUGGGGGAGCUGACGUCCUUACGCAGCUGGGCCUUCCGAUUCACUCAGUCUGGACCUCGGUCGGUCACGGUUUUUCUUUUGCUGAUUUCAACAGCAUUUUAUAAGAUUCGACGUCUGGACACUGCACACGUUCUUUUAUGUUUAUGCUUAAGCAUGUCAUUUCCUUUGCAGUAACUGCGAAAAGUGUGCCUUUCACUUCUAUUUCCUCGUGUUCACUGUCAGUAUAUAAAACAUAAUUGAGUUUUGUGUGUUAAUCUUGGGUCCUGUGACGUCGCUGAACUUGUUAGCUCUGAGGAUGUUUCCUGUGGAUUCACCGAAGCAGCAGUUCUGCCCGCACGCCUCCCGCGCCUACUCUCCCGCGGAGAUUGUGGAAAACUGGCUGAUUUGUUGCAGUGUUGUUGGAAAGGGCCCAAGACAGAAAACUGCCAACAUGUCCAUCGGUGGGACACUCGUUAAAGAAAUCACCCUCAGCCCGCGCGACGGGCAGCAGUUAAAGUUCUCCAAGCUGUGCUUUAAGGGACCCAUGUACAUAACGUGUGAAAUUGGGAGCAAAAUUGAAAACAAAUUAGACUCCGCAUGCGGAUGAGAUUGCAUUCCCAUAAAGGAACCUGGCACAGGUGAGAAGUCAGUAGGCCUGACCACUGGUGGCAGCUGUCCCGGAGAGUGCCUUUAUUCCACCAUUCAGAGCGUUAAGUCACCUGAGACAGGAAGGACGGAAGCCCCUGCUUGCAGGCCAGGCCCCCGCAGCCCUCCCAUGACCUGUCCCGUCUCUGGACACAGCCUGCCCUCCCCUUGCAGUCCUGGCCCCUCCCCAUUCCACCUCCUGUGGGGAGCAGCGGUUCCCAAUCCACCAGAACGUGGCCCUUCCUAGCUGUCCUGAAGCCUCCUUGUUGCUCCUUGGAAGACCCAGACCAAAAAAUCAAAGGAGCACCCUGGCUGCCUUCUGGAAUGUUCCAGAGCUCUCUGAAUGUGACUUCUUUCUGAGAUGGUCCCCAGAGCUCUUGGGGGCCCACAGCUUCCCUCUUGGAGUUUUGGGGGUGGCACCCCACAAGUUCCCACCCCUGGACUCCUAGGUCAGGCCUCCUCCCUGACGGCAGCCCACACGGGGUGAAGGUGCAGGCAGGGCAGGGGCCUGGUACCACCCUCGGACCCUGGUCAGAGGUCACAGGUGGGGCUUUCACCUGUGGCACCUUCCAGGUGGGGACUUCCUCCUGAGGCCCGGCCUCAGGGUGACACCUGCUCUCAGGAAGGGUCUCUUGAUCCGGGAUGAGGGGUGGCGUUCUCUCUUCUGGGAGCUCCUAAAUCAGGGAUAUGGGUCAAUGAAAAUGAAAGAAACACUGUGUUCUAUUUUUUCCCCCAAAAUACAGAUUUGUUGCCCAUGUGACCGUAAAACAUGAACCAGAUGAUGAGCCUCCCUUUGUUAAAGUCCCCAGCGGCCUCUGCCUGUCCCGACAGCCUUGCCUGUGUCUGUUCUCUUUCAAAGGCCUGAAGUCAUCCUGUGGCCUUGGCACUAGCAGGGGAGUGUGACGUCGCUGUGCGCAGGGAGGCCGGUGCAGCCCCCACAGACGAAAAGCAAACCCUUGGGCCCCUGGACCUGGGCCUGCGGCAGAAGAGGCUCGGGCUGGGAGCGGCCGUGGGGGACUGGCCCAGGGAGAAGCCCGUGGGGUGGGGAGUGCGCCAGACGCAAAGCCAGAGUCCCACAGAGUCCCAGGGCUCUCGCUGCCUGUGUUAGAGUCUAAUCUGCCCAUUGAGGGGCUUUCAAGUCCUCUCCUGUGAGGGUGUAAGGAAGGGGGUCCCUGAUGGCCUCCCAGAGCCCUGCUGCAUCAGACAGGGUGCCCAGGUAAAGUCGAAUUUCAUACAAACAACAAAUAAUCUUUAGUACAAUCAUGUCUCAUGCAAUAUUUUAGAAAUUCAAAAUUAAUGUGGAGUGUCCUGUGUUUCUUCACUUUUGGCAACCCUUUCUCUGCCUCUGCACCUGGGACAGGCCCACAGCCCGUCCAGUGAGUGGCGAAGGAGUCCCUCAGGGUUCCCCUGCCAGCUGCCGCUCCCGAGCGUCACAGAGUGUCACCUUGCAGCUGGAGCUCUCUGCUUUGCUCUGGGGUGCACAGCACAGCCGGGCCACUGUGGGGAUGGUGUGGCCACAUCUACCCAAGCUCAACAGGUGCCUUCUGUGUCCGGCAAUUCCGCCCCUAGGUCCACAGCCAGGGGAGGUGCAAGUGUGUGUCCACAAAGAGACUUUUGUGUGUUCAUUCCCAAUCUGGAAAUGACACAGCUGCCCACUGACGGAAGACAAGAUAGGUAAAUAAGUUGUGGAUAUUCAGCAAAUGCAAUAACCUCAGCAACAGAACAAGAACACAGCGCUGACAAGCCCAGGGCAGACGCAGCGUGCAGAGAGGACGCGGAGCCUGUGGGAGUGCACCCUGUGUGAUUCCAUCCAUGCGUGUGCGUCCACACAGACAAAUUCAGAAGCGGAGAGGACCAUUAGCCAGCAGUGGAAGGCAGACGGCGGCGGCUUCAGCUGGGGAAGGCACAGGGGACGCAGGACGGAUCGCUUGGUGGACUCGUGCGCAAGAACUCGAGGCAAUGCGGCUGGACUGUGGCGAAGACAGAGCUCCAGGAAGGUCAGGGCUGCCUGGAUGGGUGACUGGGAGUCAAGGGGAACCUGGGAGAUGGUGGCUCCCAUGAAGGAGACAGAGAGGAGCUUCCUAGCUGUGCAGGAGAAGCUGAGGCAUACAGUGUGCUGCUGUGGCUUCAGGGCCCGUGGGCAGUGGUCUGGUGGCUGCCUCUCACUCCCCACCCCCAGCCACCCCCUCAGCCACAGGGAGAGGGACAGAUUCUACUGCCGUGUCAAUGGCUCCACUGCCUGGCCUGACUCUUCGGUGGCACUCCCAGGGUCCAGAGUCCUCUGGGUGUGUGCUCAUGCUCGGAUGCAUAGCUGGGAGCCUGAGAAUUAAGUGGCGUGCAGCCAGGGCUACUCAGCUCAGGUCCCGGCUGGUCCUGUGGAGAGACUGUGACUCACCGGCUACUGGGGUGACUCAGUGGCCAAGGCUGUGCAUUGUCAUAACUGUCAUGAAACCUCUGACGCUGCUCGGCCAUGCCGUUGGAAGACUCCAGUGCGUCAGACUGAAAGAACUCACCUGGAGUUCAGGCACUCUGGAUUUGGGUUUUCCUCUGUAGUCAGAGCAAAGGAAUGAUAGCUUCAAAGAAGGCAGCAUGACUAGAGUUUGACAUUAUUUAGUGGGAAUUGGAGCACCCGUGAAGGCUUUGAGCCAGGAGUGGGCUGAGCGAGUGUGGCUUGUAGGGUCAGUGUCUGCAGCUGGGAACGGUGGUGCAGAGCAGUGGGAGUAGGUGGCAUCACUGGCCGGGGCAAGACCUGCACUGAGGUGAGGCAGCAGGAACAGAGCAUACGGGGGAGAUUCUGGGUGGGCAGAACUUGAGAGAACAACUGGAUGUACAGAGAAGGAGAUAAGGAAUCAAAUGGUUGCAGGGAUGUUUGGCUACGUGGGUGUUCUUGCUUGUACAGGACGUGGGGAUGCAGGUUUUGGUAAGGACAGUCUCAGGGCAAAGAGAGCAGCUAAGUGGGCAAGUCUUCAGGACGUACAUCCCAGCUCUACCAGUUCUAAUCCCAGCUCUGCCACUUGCUAGUUGUGUGGCCUUGGGCAAGCUAUUUAACUUCUCUGUUCCUCAACAUCAUUCCUAUCUGUAAUUUGGGUCUCACAAUAGCACCUACCUCUUAAGGUAUGUGGGAGGCAUUUGAAGGCAUAAGUAGCCUUCGAGCAGAGUCAGACAAAGGAACAUUAUGGAUGGAACCUGUCUGACACUAUCACUUUGUGGAGUCACAGCCAAAGAGCAGGUAACACUGCAAACCUCAGUGGUGUCUCCAGGGAAAGACAUACAAAAGGAAAAGUGGCUCAGGUUGCUGGGAAGAGUGUCCUGGGUUGAGGCAGAAGGGCAAAAGAAAGUGUAUAAAGGUGGCAAACAGGUGGGUUCUGACAAGGUCACAGAGCUAGAACAGGACAGAAAUAAUGCAGGUCUGGAGACAUCACACAGCCAGCAGGGAUGGAAGUACGGGAUGGGCUUGGGAGUCUCAUGAUUCUGGGUAAGUCAUUCGUGUCGUUUCUGGGCUCAGCACAUUCAGGCAGUUAUCAAAUCCCCGCAUUCCCCUCAUAUGAGUCCUGUGAUUCCUACUCCACUGAUGAGGUGAGUGAGGCACACAGAUGACUAACAUGGCCAUGGUCAUGCGGUGAGUAAGGGCUGGAGCUGAGAGUCAGGCCCAACUGUGUAGGAUUCAGAAGGUUGGGACUUUAAUCACAGCUUGUUACUGACUCAUGGCAGGAAAAACUUCAACACACUCUCCUCCAUUUCCUUCACCAUCACUACUGCUAGCAAAACAACCACUGCCACUGUUAUCCCCACCAAUAGCACCAUCAUCAGCACCAUCAUUACCCCAUAUCACCAUCCCCAUCACCACCACCAUCAUCAUCAUCAUAACCGCCAUCACCAUCAACACCAUCACUACC